UUCCGGAUGGCGCAAUGGUUAACGCGCCUGCCCAGUAAGCAGAAGAUCCUGGGUUCGAAUCCCAGUUUGGUAC
Molecule: non-coding RNA, 73 nt
Organism: Schistocerca serialis cubense
Lineage: Eukaryota; Metazoa; Arthropoda; Insecta; Orthoptera; Acrididae
Source: the annotation of a RefSeq genome assembly